GGCCCCGCACAAGCGGCGGAGCAUGCGGCUUAAUUCGAUGCAACCCGAAGAACCUUACCUGGGUUUGACAUCAUGGGUCUAGCUGUGGAAACACAGUGUGCUUACGCGCCCAUGACAGGUGGUGCAUGGCUGUCGUCAGCUCGUGUCGUGAGAUGUUGGGUUAAGUCCCGCAACGAGCGCAACCCUUGUCCUAUGUUGCCAGCACGUAAUGGUGGGGACUCAUGGGAGACUGCCGGGGACAACUCGGAGGAAGGCGAGGACGAUGUCAAGUCAUCAUGCCCCUUAUAUCCAGGGCUGCACCGCAUGCUACAAUGGGCGAUACAAUGGGCUGCGAUCCCGCGAGGGUUAGCCAA
Molecule: ribosomal RNA, 353 nt
Filed under: uncultured bacterium
Lineage: Bacteria
Description: bacterial SSU rRNA
Rfam family: Bacterial small subunit ribosomal RNA
Source: RNAcentral